This 166-nucleotide ribosomal RNA is filed under the name Croton sacaquinha. RNAcentral describes it as "5.8S ribosomal RNA". It matches the Rfam family "5.8S ribosomal RNA". From Rfam's summary of the family: 5.8S ribosomal RNA (5.8S rRNA) is a component of the large subunit of the eukaryotic ribosome. Lineage: Eukaryota; Viridiplantae; Streptophyta; Magnoliopsida; Malpighiales; Euphorbiaceae. The record is from RNAcentral.
AACGACUCUCGGCAACGGAUAUCUCGGCUCUCGCAUCGAUGAAGAACGCAGCGAAAUGCGAUACUUGGUGUGAAUUGCAGAAUCCCGUGAACCAUCGAGUUUUUGAACGCAAGUUGCGCCCAAAGCCUUUCGGCCGAGGGCACGUCUGCCUGGGUGUCACGCAACA